Molecule: ribosomal RNA, 502 nt
Filed under: uncultured bacterium
Lineage: Bacteria
Description: bacterial SSU rRNA
Rfam family: Bacterial small subunit ribosomal RNA
Source: RNAcentral
GAUGAACGCUAGCGACAGGCUUAACACAUGCAAGUCGAGGGGCAGCAUAAAAGUAGCAAUACUUUGGUGGCGACCGGCGCACGGGUGAGUAACGCGUAUGCAACCUACCUAUCAGAGGGGGAUAACCCGGCGAAAGUCGGACUAAUACCGCAUAAAACAGGGGCACCGCAUGGUGCUAUUUGUUAAAAAUUUAUUGCUGAUAGAUGGGCAUGCGUUCCAUUAGGUAGUUGGAGAGGUAACGGCUCACCAAGCCAACGAUGGAUAGGGGAACUGAGAGGUUGGUCCCCCACACUGGUACUGAGACACGGACCAGACUCCUACGGGAGGCAGCAGUGAGGAAUAUUGGUCAAUGGGCGAGAGCCUGAACCAGCCAAGUCGCGUGAAGGAAGAAGGAUCUAUGGUUCGUAAACUUCUUUUGCAGGGGAAUAAAGUGCAGGACGUGUCCUGUUUUGUAUGUACCCUGAGAAUAAGGAUCGGCUAACUCCGUGCCAGCAGCCGCGGU